This 1131-nucleotide ribosomal RNA is filed under the name Leptolyngbya sp. UMPCCC 1233. RNAcentral describes it as "bacterial SSU rRNA". It matches the Rfam family "Bacterial small subunit ribosomal RNA", at positions 356 to 1501 of the family's 1533-position model. Lineage: Bacteria; Bacillati; Cyanobacteriota; Cyanophyceae; Leptolyngbyales; Leptolyngbyaceae. The record is from RNAcentral.
GGGGAAUUUUCCGCAAUGGGGGCAACCCUGACGGAGCAACGCCGCGUGGGGGAGGAAUGUCUGUGGAUUGUAAACCCCUUUUCUCAGGGAAGAAGUUCUGACGGUACCUGAGGAAUCAGCAUCGGCUAACUCCGUGCCAGCAGCCGCGGUAAGACGGAGGAUGCAAGCGUUAUCCGGAAUUAUUGGGCGUAAAGCGUCCGUAGGCGGUUAAUCAAGUCUGUUGUCAAAGACUGCAGCUCAACUGUGGAAAGGCAAUGGAAACUGAAUAACUGGAGUGCGGUAGGGGUAGAGGGAAUUCCCAGUGUAGCGGUGAAAUGCGUAGAUAUUGGGAAGAACACCAGUGGCGAAGGCGCUCUACUGGGCCGUAACUGACGCUGAGGGACGAAAGCUAGGGGAGCGAAAGGGAUUAGAUACCCCUGUAGUCCUAGCUGUAAACGAUGGAUACUAGGUGUUGGACGUAUCGACCCGUUCAGUACCGCAGCCAACGCGAUAAGUAUCCCGCCUGGGGAGUACGCACGCAAGUGUGAAACUCAAAGGAAUUGACGGGGGCCCGCACAAGCGGUGGAGUAUGUGGUUUAAUUCGAUGCAACGCGAAGAACCUUACCAGGGCUUGACAUCCCUCGAAUCCUCGAGAAAUUGAGGAGUGCCUUCGGGAGCGAGGAGACAGGUGGUGCAUGGCUGUCGUCAGCUCGUGUCGUGAGAUGUUGGGUUAAGUCCCGCAACGAGCGCAACCCACGUCCUUAGUUGCCAUCAUUCAGUUGGGCACUCUGGGGAGACUGCCGGGGACAACUCGGAGGAAGGUGUGGAUGACGUCAAGUCAUCAUGCCCCUUACGUUCUGGGCUACACACGUACUACAAUGCUUCGGACAAAGGGCAGCAAGCGUGCGAGCGCAAGCUAAUCCCAUAAACCGAGGCACAGUUCAGAUUGCAGGCUGCAACUCGCCUGCAUGAAGGAGGAAUCGCUAGUAAUCGCAGGUCAGCAUACUGCGGUGAAUACGUUCCCGGGCCUUGUACACACCGCCCGUCACACCAUGGGAGUUGGCCACGCCCGAAGUCGUUACUCUAACCUUUCGAGGAGGAGGGCGCCGAAGGUGGGGCUGAUGACUGGGGUGAAGUCGUAACAAGGUAACC